CCCACACCCAUGUAUAUAGGACCCUAAAGGAUCAUCAUUAAAUUUAUCACAGAUCUCUAGAAAAGUUAUCACAUGGGUGUGGGAUUUGACUUUUCUAGAGAUCUGUGCCAAAUUUGAUAAUGAUCAUUUGGGAUCUUAUUCACAUGAGUGUGGG
This 154-nucleotide microRNA precursor is filed under the name Amborella trichopoda. RNAcentral describes it as "MIR8565 microRNA precursor family". It matches the Rfam family "MIR8565 microRNA precursor family". The record is from Rfam by way of RNAcentral. Lineage: Eukaryota; Viridiplantae; Streptophyta; Magnoliopsida; Amborellales; Amborellaceae.